UUUCGCAAUGCCCGAAAGGGUGACGAAGCGACGCCGCGUGCGGGAAGAAGGCCUUCGGGUUGUAAACCGCUGUCGGGAGUUAAGAAAUGUAAGGAUGUUAAUAGCAUCGCUACUUGACUAAGGCUCCGGAGGAAGCCACGGCUAACUCUGUGCCAGCAGCCGCGGUAAUACAGAGGCGGCAAGCGUUGUUCGGAAUUAUUGGGCGUAAAGAGCACGUAGGCGGCUAUGUAAGUCGGUUGUGAAAGCCUUCCGCUCAACGGGAGAACAGCAUCCGAUACUGCAUGGCUUGAGUGCGGGAGGGGAGAGUGGAACUUCUGGUGGAGCGGUGAAAUGCGUAGAUAUCAGAAGGAACGCCGGCGGCGAAAGCGGCUCUCUGGCCCAUAACUGACGCUGAGUGUGCGAAAGCUAGGGGAGCAAACGGGAUUAGAUACCCCGGUAGUCCUAGCCGUAAACGAUGGGCACUAAGUAGAGGGGUUUUA
RNAcentral lists this ribosomal RNA (479 nucleotides) under uncultured bacterium. RNAcentral describes it as "bacterial SSU rRNA". It matches the Rfam family "Bacterial small subunit ribosomal RNA", at positions 364 to 833 of the family's 1533-position model. The record is from RNAcentral.